RNAcentral lists this transfer RNA (91 nucleotides) under Methylomusa anaerophila. Its description in RNAcentral is "tRNA-Ser". It matches the Rfam family "tRNA". From Rfam's summary of the family: Transfer RNA (tRNA) molecules are approximately 80 nucleotides in length. Their secondary structure includes four short double-helical elements and three loops (D, anti-codon, and T loops). Lineage: Bacteria; Bacillati; Bacillota; Negativicutes; Selenomonadales; Sporomusaceae. The record is from RNAcentral.
GGAGCAGUACUCAAGCGGCUGAAGAGGACGGUUUGCUAAAUCGUUAGAGGGGGCAACCCCUGCCAGGGUUCAAAUCCCUGCUGCUCCGCCA